AACAAAACUUUUCAAUCUCCAUUAUCAGCCACAGCAGGGCUCCAUUUCAUUCGGAAUUAUCGAUCAGAGCCCGAGAGCCAGCAACGCUUUGCAAACAAUAUUAGAGAUUCAAUGAACCUUCUCUAACUCAAAGCGAACAUAUGGAACUUAGGUCCGUUGGCACCAUCGUAACCAGUCUUCCUCCACCACCAGUCGCACAGUCUCCGGUAUUCCAUUAACCCAGGCUCCACACACUUUCUGAUUCCGACCUUCCACUGCCAAAAUAUGGGCUACAGCGUUAAGCGGACGGUUCACAAACUUGGAGUCCCCUUCCACAAUCAACCGUCGAAAGCC
Gossypium raimondii (Peruvian cotton) is the source of this 333-nucleotide long non-coding RNA. RefSeq lists it as uncharacterized. The transcript has 2 exons. The record is from RefSeq and is a predicted model, not a curated record. Lineage: Eukaryota; Viridiplantae; Streptophyta; Magnoliopsida; Malvales; Malvaceae.